RNAcentral lists this long non-coding RNA (232 nucleotides) under Gossypium barbadense (sea-island cotton). RNAcentral describes it as "long non-coding RNA (GBAR_LNC011610)". The record is from RNAcentral. Lineage: Eukaryota; Viridiplantae; Streptophyta; Magnoliopsida; Malvales; Malvaceae.
CCUAACGCCUUCGUCUCCUUCUUUCUCCCUUUUCUUUUUCUUUCUUCUUUCUUUUUCCUUCUGAUUCGUUUUUCCUUUACUUCUUUUUAAUUAUUUUAUUUUAUUAUUUUGUUUUGUUAUAUAUUAAUAUAUUAUUAUAUAAUAGAAUAUACAUAUACUUAUUUUAUAAUAUAUAUAAUAAAUUCACAAAAAAUCUUCCUUAUGUCGCCACAUAAAGAAAUAAUAGCAUAAU